UACAGAGGUCUCAAGCGUUGUUCGGAUUCAUUGGGCGUAAAGAGCACGCAGGCGGUUUGGCAAGUCGGAUGUGAAAGCCCGGAGCUCAACUCCGGACCUGCAUCCGAAACUGCCCGACUAGAGGUAGGUAGGGGAGAUCGGAAUUCCUGGUGUAGCGGUGAAAUGCGCAGAUAUCAGGAGGAACACCCGUGGCGAAAGCGGCUCUCUGGGACGGUACUGACGCUGAGACGCGAAAGCGUGGGGAGCAAACAGG
Molecule: ribosomal RNA, 253 nt
Filed under: uncultured bacterium
Lineage: Bacteria
Description: partial 16S ribosomal RNA
Rfam family: Bacterial small subunit ribosomal RNA
Source: RNAcentral